UACGUAGGUGGCAAGCGUUGUCCGGAAUUAUUGGGCGUAAAGCGCGCGCAGGCGGUCCUUUAAGUCUGAUGUGAAAGCCCACGGCUCAACCGUGGAGGGUCAUUGGAAACUGGGGGACUUGAGUGCAGGAGAGAAGAGUGGAAUUCCACGUGUAGCGGUGAAAUGCGUAGAUAUCGAGAGGAACACCUGCGGCGAAGGCGGGUUGCUGGGCUGACACUGACGCUGAGGCGCGAAAGCCAGGGGAGCGAACGGG
RNAcentral lists this ribosomal RNA (253 nucleotides) under uncultured bacterium. RNAcentral describes it as "partial 16S ribosomal RNA". It matches the Rfam family "Bacterial small subunit ribosomal RNA", at positions 524 to 776 of the family's 1533-position model. The record is from RNAcentral.